CCUACGGGCGGCAGCAGUGAGGAAUAUUGGUCAAUGGGCGGGAGCCUGAACCAGCCAAGCCGCGUGAAGGAAGAAGGCGCCAGGCGUCGUAAACUUCUUUUGUCGGGGAACAAAGGGCGCCACGCGUGGCGUUGUGAGUGUACCCGAAGAAAAAGCAUCGGCUAACUCCGUGCCAGCAGCCGCGGUAAUACGGAGGAUGCGAGCGUUAUCCGGAUUUAUUGGGUUUAAAGGGUGCGUAGGCGGUCCGGAAAGUCAGCGGGAAAAGCCCGGGGCUCAACCCCGGCGAGCCGUGGAAACUGUCGGACUAGAGACGGCGAGAGGUACGCGGAAUGCGCGGUGUAGCGGUGAAAUGCAUAGAUAUCGCGAAGAACUCCGAUUGCGAAGGCAGCGUACCGGCGCCGUACUGACGCUGAGGCACGAAAGCGUGGGUAUCGAACAGGAUUAGAUACCCGGGUAGUC
This 459-nucleotide ribosomal RNA is filed under the name uncultured bacterium. RNAcentral describes it as "partial 16S ribosomal RNA". It matches the Rfam family "Bacterial small subunit ribosomal RNA", at positions 338 to 795 of the family's 1533-position model. The record is from RNAcentral.